UUUGAGUCAAGUGGGGAAAAUGUAAGAGUUGGUCCGAUGACGUAGUCUGAGUUUUGUAUUCUUGAGGGCAGUUGAAGGAGCGCGCCGGAAUCGGAAGGUUGGACGGAAUUUUGCUGCUACUAGGCUUUUUCAGUUGCAACCUUUUCCAGGCUUCAAUAAUUGAAGUUUCUAAUUGUCAGCAGCUAUCGUUUGGCGGACACAAUGGGUCGAAAGGCUACGUUAGCAUGCUGCUGCCUAAAUCAGUGGGCUCUAGACUUUGAGGGAAACCUCUGUCGAAUAGUGGCCAGCGUGAAGGAAGCCAAAAGCAGGGGAGCUACGUAUCGCACGGGACCCGAACUGGAAAUACCAGGCUACAGCUGCCAGGACCAUUUUCACGAGAGUGACACGCUGCUGCACUCGUGGGAGGUGCUGGCGGAGCUGCUGCUGCACCCCGUCUGUCGCGACAUCAUCAUCGACGUGGGCAUGCCGGUGAUGCAUCGGAACGUCAUCUACAACUGCCGCGUGGUCUUCCUCAACAGUAAGAUCCUGUUGAUUCGGCCCAAAAUGACGCUGUGUGACACCGGCAACUACCGGGAGACGCGCUGGUUCACCGCUUGGACAAAGCACCGUGAGACGGAGCCGCACCACCUGCCGCGAAUGAUUGCCGCCAUCACGGAGCAGCGCACCGUACCGAUCGGAGACGCCCUGCUGGCCACGCGGGACACCUGUGUCGGAUACGAGAUCUGCGAGGAACUCUGGAGUGCGGAUAGCUCACACGUGGCGCAGACCCUGGACGGCGCUGAGCUGAUCGUGAACAGCAGCGGCUCCCACUUCGAGCUGCGCAAGGCCUACGUGGUGUUUGACCUGAUGCGCUCGGCCACGUCCAAGUGCGGCGGCUGCUACCUGUUCAGUAACAUGCGCGGCGGGGACGGCGACCGGCUCUACUUUAACGGCGCGCCCUCGAUCGCCGUGAACGGCGAGUUCGCCGCCGCCGGCCGGCAGUUCGCCCUGGAGGAGGUGGAGGUCAUCUCGGCCACCAUCGACCUGGAGGAAAUCCGUACCUACCGUAACCGGAUCAGGAGCCGGCAGAUCCAGGCGGCGGCGGCGCCCUCCUUCCCCCGGAUAGAGGUCGACUUCAGCCUGUCCCGAGACGGCGACCUGGCACUGCCCUCCUGGACGCCUAUACAGCCGCACUACCACCCUCCGGAGGAGGAGAUCGCGCUGAGCGCCGCCUGCUGGCUGUGGGACUACCUGCGGCGCAGCGGCCAGGGUGGGUUCUUCCUGCCGCUCAGCGGCGGCGUCGACUCCUCCAGCACCGCCUGUCUGGUGUUCUCCAUGUGCCGGCUGCUGGUCAGCGCCGCCAGACACGACACGCGCACCCUGGAGCAGGUGCGCCGGAUCGCCGGCGACUCGGAAUACACCCCGACCGAUCCACGCGAGCUGUGCGGCCGGCUCUUCACCACCUGCUACAUGGGAUCGGAGAACUCCUCGGCAGAGACGAGGGCACGCGCCGCACAGCUGGCGUCCGAGAUCGGCAGCUACCACCAGAGUAUCGCCAUAGACGUGGCCGUCUCUGCUGUACUGGGAAUCUUCACCACCGUCACGGGACUGGUGCCCAAGUUCCGGGCGCGCGGCGGCACCCCGCGAGAGAACCUCGCCCUGCAGAAUGUACAGGCCCGUCUGCGAAUGGUGUUGGCCUACCUGUUUGCCCAGCUGACCCUCUGGGUCCGAGACCGUCCCGGCGGCCUGCUCGUCCUGGGCUCGGCCAACGUUGACGAGUCUCUCCGCGGCUACAUGACCAAGUACGACUGCAGCAGCGCCGACAUCAACCCCAUCGGAGGCAUCUCCAAGACAGACCUGAAGUCGUUUCUGCGGUACGCCCGGCGCAAGUUCAGCCUGCCCUCGCUGGACGGGAUCCUGGAGGCGCCUCCCACUGCCGAGCUGGAGCCCCUGGCCGACGGGCGACUGGCGCAGACCGACGAACAGGACAUGGGCAUGACGUACGCGGAGCUGUCCGUGUACGGAAAGCUGCGGAAGGAGCACAGCUGCGGCCCGUACUCGAUGUUCUGCAAGCUGAUCCAGAUGUGGGCCGACCACUGCACGCCCGAACAGGUAGCGGAGAAGGUGCGUCACUUCUACCGCUGUUACGCGGUGAACCGGCACAAGAUGACGGUGCUGACUCCGUCGCUGCACGCCGAGGCGUACGGGCCGGACGACAAUCGGCACGACCACCGGCCGUUCCUCUACCACGCCGCCUGGACGUGGCAGUUCCGCUCCAUCGAAGUGGCUCUGAAGCAGCUGCAGGCGGCGCAGGAGGGCGGCAGGUCCAAGGACCGGUCCCAGCUCACUGACCGCCAGCGCAGAGAGCUCAACGACUUCUCCCGCACCGGCACCGGCGCCGGGCACAGCCGGCUCAACACACUAUCAAAGUCAGGUGACGGCAGCGGCGGUGGCGGUAUCAAAGUGUCUCACAACAUCGCGCCGGACCAGCCGGACGCCGCCAAACGGUGCAUCUCACCCAGCAACCCGCAGCAACAGCUCAAAGCCAGUCGACAGGCCUUUCACCUGGUGUGAACACAGGUGGAGGCGCGGCUCCCUCCGCGACCCACCGAGGAAGGGCGUCUCCCCGUGCUGGGUUGGUGGGGAUAAUAUCAGGAAUAGAAUGGGCGGGGAGAAGAGAAGAGAAGAUUGUUGUGUUUACUCUUGAGGACUUUCGUGGGUGGUGUAGACGGCAGUUGGCCCAUAUACGGGCAUGUCUAGCGAUUUUAUUGAAAUGAUUUAGUACUAUACCUUUAGUGUCCCUUGUUAGUGAUAUGUUAGUGAUAAACUUGGAUGGUAGAGCGUAGGAAUAGCGGCACAACUGAGCACAAAAGCCUGACCCGAUCCCAUUAUGUUGUGUGCCAACCGUGAAAUAGGUAGGUACCCAUGCCAUCAGUAUGUUAUUGUUAGGCAUUUCCUACCACCGCAGUAACGUUAUGAUCAAAGCGCCCACUGCCUUAGCACUCGCCGCGCACAACUGGCGUAUGUCAUGUGCUUGUUGUUAUUUUACCCGUGACUGUUUGGCUGGUAUUUGCCGUUGACGGUGUGUGAGCGCUGGUUGUCGCUGCAGGGAGUGAAGUCUGUAUCGCUGUUCUGGGCUCAAUGUCCUGAUCUCACUGCCCUGGCACUGGCUGCCUGCCAUUAAGGGUGGGGACUGGUCGACUGAGGGUGCUGUAGCACACAGUGAGAUAUCUGUAGUCGCUUUUUGGUGCGUGUGAGGUCAGGGAAAUUCGCGGUCGUCUGACCCGCGUCCAGCCUUCUGCACUCCGUCCGAUACCGGGGCGACGGACGGCCCGAAUGGCCCCGUUGGAAGCUGCCGAUCCUGUCGGCUGUCAGGAGCUCAGGGGCCCAGUCGGGGGCCCUGCUGCGCUGUCCCGGUGCCGACCGUGGGGUAGCAGCCGGAACCCUGCUGUCCCGGUGCCUACCGUGGGGUAGGAACGCGCCGACUCGCUGGUCUGCCCCGGUGGUCUGUGUUAUUUGAAAUACUCUGAACGCUGACCGACCCAUCGUAAACGGGUACACAAUCAUAUCCCCGUAUUCGCGGCGUAAUUAUCGUAGCCGGAGCAGGAUGAUAAGUCAUGAGGCCAUCGGGUUGGAGAUACUUUAAGAAAUGUCCGGUUAAAUGUCGGAUGCUCUGUGGCCAUGAAAUGAUCGCCUAAACUUGUGGCUGGUGUAGUAGGUACUUAUCAUGUUAAUACAAUUGUGUCAAAUUGAAAA
This 3735-nucleotide unclassified non-coding RNA is filed under the name Amphibalanus amphitrite. RNAcentral's name for it is "glutamine-dependent NAD(+) synthetase-like, transcript variant X1". Lineage: Eukaryota; Metazoa; Arthropoda; Thecostraca; Balanomorpha; Balanidae. The record is from RNAcentral.